Molecule: non-coding RNA, 71 nt
Organism: Cricetulus griseus (Chinese hamster)
Lineage: Eukaryota; Metazoa; Chordata; Mammalia; Rodentia; Cricetidae
Source: Rfam
GGUGGGAUGGCUCAGAGGUUAAGAGCACUGGCUUUUCUUCCAGAGGUCCUGAGUUCAAUUCCCAGCAACCA